ACUGUAUCCUCAGUCGGCAAUGAGUGCUCUCCACAGGUCUCCAGUUAGAAGGGUCACAAGCAAGUACAAAAGAGGUACUUGGCUUCAGCUGCUGGGCUAGCUAUUGGAGAAGUGGACUCGGGGACAAUUUCAGCAAAGAAUAUUGUAGACUGUCGCUCAAAUACAGCUAUCUGAAAGCAAGAAAUUUCCACUCCACUCCUGAAGAAGAAGGGACAUUUUGGGCUUCAUCCAGACCCAUUACUAAUUUACUGACUGGAAAGGAGAGUGAUUUAUCUGAUUGAUUCACUUUCAUUUGAAGUAACUUCAGGAGCUGAUGGCAAUGAUAUUUCAGCUAUUUGCACAAGAUUAGAUAGUUUCUCGUGAAUUGUAAUAACUCUAAAAAUAA
This is a long non-coding RNA of Manis javanica (Malayan pangolin), 385 nucleotides long. RefSeq lists it as uncharacterized. The record is from RefSeq and is a predicted model, not a curated record. Lineage: Eukaryota; Metazoa; Chordata; Mammalia; Pholidota; Manidae.